GGGCAUGUAGCUCAGCUGGUUAGAGCUCCGAGCUUAUACCUCGGCGGUCCCUGGUUCGAAUCCAGGCAUGCCCA
This 74-nucleotide transfer RNA is filed under the name Patescibacteria group bacterium. Its description in RNAcentral is "tRNA-Ile". It matches the Rfam family "tRNA". From Rfam's summary of the family: Transfer RNA (tRNA) molecules are approximately 80 nucleotides in length. Their secondary structure includes four short double-helical elements and three loops (D, anti-codon, and T loops). The record is from RNAcentral.